ACUCAAAUGAAUUGACGGGGGCCCGCACAAGCGGUGGAGCAUGUGGAUUAAUUCGUCACUAACCGAAGAACCUUACCCAGGUUUGACAUCUGGCGCACCGGGGUGAAAGCCUCGUUCCCUUCGGGGACGCCAAGACAGGUGUUGCAUGGCUGUCGUCAGCUCGUGUCGUGAGAUGUUGGGUUAAGUCCCGCAACGAGCGCAACCCUCACCGUAUGUUGGCAGCGUAAAGUCGGCAACUCUUACGGAACUGCCCGUGCAAGCGGGAGGAAGGUGGGGACGACGUCAAGUCGGCAUGGCCCUUACACCUGGGGCUUCACACAUGCUACAAUGGGCGCUACAGACCGCUCCGAGACCGCGAGGUGGAGGAAAUCGGAAAAAAGCGUCCUCAGUUCGGAUUGCAGGCUGCAACUCGCCUGCAUGAAGCUGGAAUCGCUAGUAACCGCAGGUCAGCUAAACUGCGGUGAAUACGUUCCCGGGCCUUGUACACACCGCCCGU
This 496-nucleotide ribosomal RNA is filed under the name uncultured bacterium. RNAcentral's name for it is "partial 16S ribosomal RNA". It matches the Rfam family "Bacterial small subunit ribosomal RNA", at positions 899 to 1397 of the family's 1533-position model. The record is from RNAcentral.